UACGUAGGGGGGCUAGCGUUGUCCGGAAUCAUUGGGCGUAAAGCGCGUGUAGGCGGUUCGGUAAGUCCGCUGUGAAAGUCGGGGGCUCAACCCUCGAAUGCCGGUGGAUACUGUCGGGCUAGAGUGCGGAAGAGGCGAGUGGAAUUCCUGGUGUAGCGGUGAAAUGCGCAGAUAUCAGGAGGAACACCGAUUGCGAAGGCAGCUCGCUGGGACGUUACUGACGCUGAGACGCGAAAGCGUGGGGAGCAAACAGG
Molecule: ribosomal RNA, 254 nt
Filed under: uncultured bacterium
Lineage: Bacteria
Description: partial 16S ribosomal RNA
Rfam family: Bacterial small subunit ribosomal RNA
Source: RNAcentral